Molecule: long non-coding RNA, 3607 nt
Organism: Alexandromys fortis (reed vole)
Lineage: Eukaryota; Metazoa; Chordata; Mammalia; Rodentia; Cricetidae
Exons: 6
Source: RefSeq, a predicted model, not a curated record
GCUAGGGAGGCCACCCGCGGACCGACUCCGCCGCUAGCUGUUCUACUUUCCGCCUUUUUCCCUUGGACCUCCGAGGAGACCAGCACGUGCGUGGGAUCUCCGAGGAGUAGGGUACUAAAGUAGCAGAAUCUGACUGCAGAGAACAGGACAAUACCCAGUGGCUGGGGACAGAACUUUAUGUUAGCUAAAGUCUCAGGUGCUUCCGUUUUGUUUCAGAGACUUAAAGAGGAGUGGAAGAACCAGGUCAAGCGAAAAGAAGUCAGGACGUGGAGGAAGCCGACCACGGCAAACUUACUGCGGCCACAGAGGAGAUCAGAGGACCGAAGAUGAGCAGCCAGGUCAUCUGCUAGAAACCUGGAUGCCUAAUUCUGCAAGGCGAGACCAGAAAACAGGCAUCCACCCUGAGCAAGCACUGGAUGGAGAAGCUGCUGGGUGCAGACCAGGAGAAAUGCAAGACUGGACCAUUGACAGAAUACUGACUUCUUCCAAAGAGAAGAACUGGAGCCUAAGAUUUAACGUUGAGCACCAGACAGUCCUACACCAGCAUAGACACUGGAGGUAGAAUGCUGCUGGAGAGGAGGAAACUCAAGGCUUGAUCACUGACUGGCCACUGACUCCUUCAAAACAGAGGAGGCCUGAGAAGAACUGGAGCCUAAGAUUUAACGUUGAGCACCAGACAGUCCUACCUACACCAGCAUAGACACUGGAGGUAGAAUGCUGCUGGAGAGGAGGAAACUCAAGGCUUGAUCACUGACUGGCCACUGACUGCUUCAAAACAGAGGAGGCCUGAGAUGAGAAGAUCCUUUGACAAAGUUGCCAACAAUUCAACACAGACUAUGAAAAAUAGUGGUGGACUAGAGUGUGGCCUGUGAAGAUAACCUGACAAAAUGGGCGGGAGAAGAGGAUGCAAGAUGGCGCCACUGAGCUUAUCUAGAGCACUACUGCCCCUAAGAGGCUUCAGUUUUAACAGAUACAGUACAGCCAAUGUUUCUUUCCCAUAAGCCCCAGCCAGGAAGAGGACUGGCUGCCAAGCUGAAGCUCAUUGUGUUCUAGACUGGGAGACAGCAGAAAGCAGGUGUACCCUGGAAACUGGUGCAACUCCUCAUAGAACCUGGAGAUCAAGGGACCUGAACCCAGGGUUGGGAUACUGAAAGUGUUCUAUCAAGUUUGGACUUGAGAAAUGGGAAAAAACUCCAAGACAAAUGCAAACUCUCCAGUCUAGAUGGCUCCUGCUCUAGAGAGUGAGACUUUGUCAAAGAAUUUAAGGCAGGCUGGGAUAGUGUUCUAUCAAGUUUGGACUUGAGAAAUGGGAAAAAACUCCAAGACAAAUGCAAACUCUCCAGUCUAGAUGGCUCCUGCUCUAGAGAGUGAGACUUUGUCAAAGAAUUUAAGGCAGGCUGGGAUAGUGUUCUAUCAAGUUUGGACUUGAGAAAUGGGAAAAAACUCCAAGACAAAUGCAAACUCUCCAGUCUAGAUGGCUCCUGCUCUAGAGAGUGAGACUUUGUCAAAGAAUUUAAGGCAGGCUGGGAUAGUGUUCUAUCAAGUUUGGACUUGAGAAAUGGGAAAAAACUCCAAGACAAAUGCAAACUCUCCAGUCUAGAUGGCUCCUGCUCUAGAGAGUGAGACUUUGUCAAAGAAUUUAAGGCAGGCUGGGAGAGUGUUCUAUCAAGUUUGGACUUGAGAAAUGGGAAAAAACUCCAAGACAAAUGCAAACUCUCCAGUCUAGAUGGCUCCUGCUCUAGAGAGUGAGACUUUGUCAAAGAAUUUAAGGCAGGCUGGGUGGUGGUGGUUUUUUGCCUUUAAUCCCAGCACUCAGGAGGCAGAGGGAAACAGAUCUAUGUGUGUUCAAGGACAGCCUGGUCUAUAAGAACUAGUUUCAGUACAGGCUCCCAAGCUACAAGAGAAACGCUGUCUCAAAAAAACUUAUGGCAAUCUUGUGGGGUAUGGUCAUGGUGGGUGUGGAAGGGUGUGUUUUCGUGUAGGAAGGGAGUGCUUGGAGGGCAUAGGUAGGUGUGUGUGUAGGAAUGGGGUGGGGGUGGGGCCCUAGGGUGUGUGGGAGACAGAGAGUGUAGAUUCACUUUGAGCCUUAAAAUCCCAAAUGAAUUUUUUCUUUUUUACAGAAAUUGAAUAGGUAAUCAAUCCUACAUUUCACUCGGAAUUUGAAGAUGAGCAAUUAAUAUAAUAUUAAUUUUCACAUAUGAAAAUCAAGCAAGCCCCAUAUUUUAUCACUCUUUCAACUAUCUUUUCAACUAAAAUACAGAAAUAUGUUAAUAUAUGUCCACAGUUAAGGAGAUGCCUGAGUUUGGGGAAAGGUAUGCCCUUAUGUUGUCUAUCAGUGUUGAAGAUUGUUUGAAUGUAUUUCUGGGUAACAUGCAUAUCCAUUUUAAGAACUAAACAGAUGUUAAUGAAUAGUGAUUGUAUAAGAAUGGAUUGCAUUGAAAGCUCUCAGGCCACACACAUCUGGGUGACAGAAUUUAGUUGCCACUUUUAACCAUUCGAUCCUUUUUAAAAAUGUUUUUGGAAGAUACAGUGUGCUUUUUCUAUUUUUGAACAGACACUUUGUAGACUUUUGAAUGGACCCUUUGUAGUCCAACUCUCACCAUCUUGAACCUGAGGGUCCACGAAUAAGAAUAUAAAAAUGUAGAUUCCAGAAAUAAGAAUGUAAAAGUAAAGAAAUAUAAAGCUGUAAGCCUAGAAAUGAUAGCGGGCUGUCAGCAGCUUAAGUAAUUAAGUAACAGCAGGUUGCUUUACAACUGCUGCUCUGUUCACAAAAGUGAAGCAUCCCUCUACAAAUUGAUGGUCAGCUUUGACAAACUGAGUGUUGGGGAAUGCAGACCCUCAGACCCUGAACUUUCUAUGACCCCUUGCCUGCCUGAGUAAGCAACUUGUUUUCCUAUGCUACAGCUAUUCUGAGCACAAGACCAUCAUGAGUUCCUGAUGUCAGGGGAGUGGUUUCUGGUGGGCUUGCAGCUGAAAAAUCCAGAGAGCUAGGGCAUGGCUAUUAGUCAAGGAGAGCACUAUAUAAACUGUCCUGGAAUACAAUACAAUGGCAUUCUUGUUUCAAGAGUGACCAAUGUCUCUUUUUUUUUAAAUCCUCAGCCCCUUGCCUGAUCACAGUUUCCAGGUGGCGCAGAUGCCACUUAUGACCAGAAAUUGAUGCGAGCUGAGUUAACUUUUAAAUGAUGUACGUGACUUUUUGACUUUUUGGUUUUAUAUUGUCCCAUACCCUUCCAUGCUAUGUGAAACUGGCCUUGUCAGGGGAGGUGCAGACAGAGCCUUGGUAAACACUAUCAAGGGAUACCAGGGAAGAUAAUAAAUUAAGUACAAACACUAGUUUGCCUGAAAAACUGUUAAUGGAAAUUGCAAAGAAGGGCAAUUUGUAUUUGAGUUUUACCUUGAGAUUGUAAAAAUUCUCUUGUUAUUGCCUAAUGCUUGCUAUAAAAGGAGUUAAAAAUACAGCCCUCUGCUACAGCCUUAAAAUCUCUGGCUGUGGUCUCAGCUAGCUGAUAAGCUUUUGUGCCCUAAGGAGAUUUUUUAUUUUAUUUUAUUUUAUUUUUUCUUCCUGGAAUCUGGUUUCUCGAAUAAAGUUUGCUUCUUGUUUAUUAGA